AGAGUUUGAUCCUGGCUCAGGAUGAACGCUAGCGACAGGCUUAACACAUGCAAGUCGAGGGGCAUCGGGGAGUAGCAAUACUCUGCCGGCGACCGGCGCACGGGUGAGUAACGCGUAUGGAACCUGCCCUGUACAGGGGAAUAGCCCAUGGAAACGUGGAUUAAUGUCCCAUAUGACAUUCGGGAGGCAUCUUUCGGGUGUAAAAUUUUCGGAGGUACAGGAUGGCCAUGCGUCCUAUUAGAUAGUUGGCGGGGUAACGGCCCACCAAGUCGAUGAUAGGUAGGGGUUCUGAGAGGAAGGUCCCCCACAUUGGAACUGAGACACGGUCCAAACUCCUACGGGAGGCAGCAGUGAGGAAUAUUGGUCAAUGGGCGCGAGCCUGAACCAGCCAAGUCGCGUGAGGGAAGACUGCCCUAUGGGUUGUAAACCUCUUUUAUUCGGGAAGAAUAAGCCUUACGAGUAGGGUGAUGCCUGUACCGAAUGAAUAAGCAUCGGCUAACUCCGUG
RNAcentral lists this ribosomal RNA (506 nucleotides) under uncultured Odoribacter sp. RNAcentral describes it as "bacterial SSU rRNA". It matches the Rfam family "Bacterial small subunit ribosomal RNA", at positions 8 to 507 of the family's 1533-position model. Lineage: Bacteria; Pseudomonadati; Bacteroidota; Bacteroidia; Bacteroidales; Odoribacteraceae. The record is from RNAcentral.